CAGUAGCCGCGGUAAUACGUAGGUCCCGAGCGUUGUCCGGAUUUAUUGGGCGUAAAGGGAGCGCAGGCGGUUUAGUAAGUCUGAAGUUAAAGGCAUUGGCUCAACCAAUGUAUGCUUUGGAAACUGUUAGACUUGAGUGCAGAAGGGGAGAGUGGAAUUCCAUGUGUAGCGGUGAAAUGCGUAGAUAUAUGGAGGAACACCGGUGGCGAAAGCGGCUCUCUGGUCUGUCACUGACGCUGAGGCUCGAAAGCGUGGGUAGCGAACAGGAUUAGAUACCCCAGUAGUCCCUGUCUCUUAUACC
RNAcentral lists this ribosomal RNA (301 nucleotides) under uncultured bacterium. RNAcentral's name for it is "partial 16S ribosomal RNA". It matches the Rfam family "Bacterial small subunit ribosomal RNA", at positions 509 to 808 of the family's 1533-position model. The record is from RNAcentral.